RNAcentral lists this ribosomal RNA (516 nucleotides) under Triticum aestivum (bread wheat). RNAcentral's name for it is "partial small subunit ribosomal RNA". The record is from RNAcentral. Lineage: Eukaryota; Viridiplantae; Streptophyta; Magnoliopsida; Poales; Poaceae.
AUGGCGAGGGCGGCGACGGGCGACGUUGGGAUGGCGAGGGUGGCCUCGGACGGGAACCCCUACGUGCUGUCGGCGACGCCGUGUGGGUCGAGCACGGGGUCGGCGAUCGCGGCAGCGGCAAGCAUGGCGGCGGUGACGCUGGGAACGGAGACGGACGGUUCGAUACUCUGCCCGGCGUCGCUCAACUCGGUGGUGGGGAUCAAGCCGACGGUGGGGUUGACCAGCCGGGCUGGGGUUAUCCCCAUCACACCACGCCAAGAUACUGUCGGGCCGAUUUGCCGCACGGUGGCUGAUGCGGUCCACGUGCUGGACGCCAUCACUGGCUAUGACGCCCUUGACUCUACUGCCACGAUGGCAGCUUCCAAGUACAUCCCUCGUGGUGGAUACAUGCAGUUCUUGAAAAAAGAUGGCCUUAGAGGGAAGAGGCUCGGCGUUCCUAAUGGCUUCUUCAACUUUCCAAAUGGGACUAUGCAACAGAUAGUCUAUGAGCAACAUCUCAACACAAUGAGGUGGUAA